UAAAAUAAAAUAAAAAAAAAGGCAUAAUUCAAGAGGAUAAUAUUAUUGUCCAUUGCAGUCCUAUAUAAGAAAAUAUGUUUCGGUCUAAGGUAGAGAAAGGAUAAAAAUUAAAAGAGGAGGAAUUUUUUUCAAUUAAUAAAAAGAAAGGAUAAAGAGUUUAAGAGUAAGAAACUCUUAUCCAUUAUUGAGGACACCGACUGUGGUGUAUAUUGUACUUAAAAUAAUAAGUAUAUUUGAUUAUGUCCAAAGAAUAUUAAGGGUAACUAACAAAUGUAUUUAUUAUAAGCAGUUAUAUAAUAAGGGUUCUUUUAAGUGCAAUUAGAUUAAUAGAUAGAUAGGCAAUUGUUGAUUUAUUUAUUGAUAGUGUAAGAUAACAUGUCCGUGAAUGUAGCCUUAUGUUGAGAAGGUG
RNAcentral lists this unclassified non-coding RNA (409 nucleotides) under Hevea brasiliensis (rubber tree). The record is from RNAcentral. Lineage: Eukaryota; Viridiplantae; Streptophyta; Magnoliopsida; Malpighiales; Euphorbiaceae.